Molecule: transfer RNA, 75 nt
Filed under: Bacillota bacterium
Lineage: Bacteria; Bacillati; Bacillota
Description: Firmicutes bacterium tRNA-Cys
Rfam family: tRNA
About the family: Transfer RNA (tRNA) molecules are approximately 80 nucleotides in length.
Source: RNAcentral
GGCGGCGUAGCCGAGGGGUUCAGGCAACGGCCUGCAAAGCCGCGAACGUGGGUUCGAAUCCCGCCGCCGCCUCCG